GCGCCCGUAGCUCAACUGGAUAGAGCAUCUGACUACGAAUCAGAAGGCUGGAGGUUCGACUCCUUCCGGGCGCG
Molecule: non-coding RNA, 74 nt
Organism: Kaistia sp. SCN 65-12
Lineage: Bacteria; Pseudomonadati; Pseudomonadota; Alphaproteobacteria; Hyphomicrobiales; Kaistiaceae
Source: Rfam